RNAcentral lists this ribosomal RNA (470 nucleotides) under uncultured Nitrospira sp. RNAcentral's name for it is "bacterial SSU rRNA". It matches the Rfam family "Bacterial small subunit ribosomal RNA", at positions 29 to 471 of the family's 1533-position model. The record is from RNAcentral. Lineage: Bacteria; Pseudomonadati; Nitrospirota; Nitrospiria; Nitrospirales; Nitrospiraceae.
AACGAACGCUGGCGGCGCGCCUAACACAUGCAAGUCGAACGAGGUUAUUUUUUGAAACCGGCUUCGGUUGGUGGAAAGUUAUAAUCUAGUGGCGGACGGGUGAGUAACACGUAGGUAACCUACCCUAGGGAUCGGGAUACUCCCGAGAAAUCGGGGACAAUACCGGGUAUCAUUACAGGGCGAAAUUCCCAGUAAUAAAAGCUGCGAGCAAUCGUGGCGCCUUAGGAUGGGCCUGCGGCCUAUCAGCUUGUUGGUGAGGUAACGGCUUACCAAGGCUAUGACGGGUAACCGGACUGAGAGGUCGAUCGGUCACACUGGAACUGAGACACGGUCCAGACUCCUACGGGAGGCAGCAGUGGGGAAUUUUGCGCAAUGGGCGAAAGCCUGACGCAGCGACGCCGCGUGGAGGAAGAAGGCCUUUGGGUUGUAAACUCCUUUCGUGAGGGAAAAAGUCUCGAGCAAUCGGGAUG